CGCCCGCCUCAGCCUCCCAAAGUGCUGGGAUUACAGGCAUGAGCCACUGUGCUCGGCCAUGAACUUGAUUCUUU
RNAcentral lists this microRNA precursor (74 nucleotides) under Chlorocebus sabaeus (green monkey). RNAcentral's name for it is "miRNA (ENSCSAG00000026833.1)". Lineage: Eukaryota; Metazoa; Chordata; Mammalia; Primates; Cercopithecidae. The record is from RNAcentral.